CAGUAGCCACGGGAAUACGGAGGGUGCAAGCGUUAAUCGGAAUUACUGGGCGUAAAGCGCACGCAGGCGGUCUGACAAGUCAGAUGUGAAAUCCCCGGGCUUAACCUGGGAACUGCAUUUGAAACUGUCAGGCUGGAGUCUUGUAGAGGGGGGUAGAAUUCCAGGUGUAGCGGUGAAAUGCGUAGAGAUCUGGAGGAAUACCGGUGGCGAAGGCAGCCCCCUGGACAAAGACUGACGCUCAGGUGCGAAAGCGUGGGGAGCAAACAGGAUUAGAUACCCCAGUAGUCCCUGUCUCUUAUAU
This 301-nucleotide ribosomal RNA is filed under the name uncultured bacterium. Its description in RNAcentral is "partial 16S ribosomal RNA". It matches the Rfam family "Bacterial small subunit ribosomal RNA", at positions 509 to 809 of the family's 1533-position model. The record is from RNAcentral.